Molecule: long non-coding RNA, 2270 nt
Filed under: Homo sapiens (human)
Lineage: Eukaryota; Metazoa; Chordata; Mammalia; Primates; Hominidae
Description: HSALNT0278941
Source: RNAcentral
CAAGGAGAACAGGUGCCUGACCUGGGCCCGAAGGGUUUGUACUUUGUUGUAAAUCCCUAGGCUUCAGGAAGAUGACUGCCUCCCCCAAGCACUUCCUAAGUGCGGGCCACUGGGCUUCAAACCGGAUGGGUUCCUGAGAGGCAGCUGCUCCCGUCCUAGGGAUGCAGGGGCCGAUCUGCAGGGGCUGGAAGUGACUGGCCCAAUUAGCUGCUGUGCUUGUAGCCACUGGGCUGUAAGGCUUCCCUCAGGCUCCAGCCGCCGCAGAGACGCCAGACCCUUACAGGGCAUCUGUGUGGGAGCAUCACCCCUAUUUCAGAUGUGGACAGUAGGAGUGGGAAUUGACUGGGCCCAGAGGCAGUGAUGUACAGAGGGAGCUGGCUUUGAACCCAGGCACGUGCACUUUCGUCAGUGGGUCAUCAUGCUGGGACAGUGACUGACUGUACAAGAGCACAGACAAGGACUAGCAAUUUGGAUCGCUGCAGCUUCCUGGGCCUGGGUGAGGUCUGCACCUGAGGAAGCCGCGACAGCAAGUGCCCUGGGCCGCCAGCCUGGUGGGAAGUAGGGCAGGACGAAAACAGGAACUUGAAGUGGGUCAUGCUCGUUGAACUGGAAACACUGAGUUGAUAUCUGGGUUAUUUCCCCUGACUGUCGCAAAACACACUUAGACAAACCCUGCAUUUAUUCCUUUAGAGUUGGGAAUGGGAAGAGUGUGUGUGUGUGUGUGUGUGUGUUGGGGGGUGAGGGGACUACUGCCCAGGCUCUACCUUUGUGGGAGGAUCCUCCCCUUCCUUCCACCAACCCCACUUGGGAUGUCCCAGGCUGGUGGUGAACUCGUUGGGCAGGUCAGUACUGUGUUUAUAAAGCGUGUCCUCAGCACACCCUGCAAAGUGCCUGGCAAAACAUAGGCAUGCCACAGAUACUUUAAAAAAAUGUUUUUCCUGCUUACAAAAGUAAGUCAUGUUGAUUUAAUAAUAUCGAGAAAACACAGAAAAGCAUACACAAAAAGUCACUCUUCGACUUAGACGUGAUUAAUAUUUGGUAUUUGUGUAUAUGUAAAUAUGCAUGAAAGAAAAGCUGAGAAAACAUACUGCAGAGUGUUUUCCACGCUACUAAUUCCUCUCCUAAGACAUGAUUUUUAAAAAUCGAUUUUAUCAAGGUCUAAAUUGCAUGCAAUAAAACUCAGACAUUUUAAGGCACAUAGUUGGUUAAAUUUUGAUAAUUGUGUGCACCUGUGUAAACAUCACCCGGAUCGCAGCAGCCCAGCACCUUCUCCUGGGCCCUGGGCUGUUUUCUCACCAGGGACAGGCACGAUGCUAAUAGAGUUUCAUGUAAAUGGAAUCAUGCCAUGUGCACGUCUUUGUGCCCGGCUGCUUUAUCUCAUGUAAAUGGAAUCAUGCCAUGUGCACGUCUUUGUGCCCGGCUGCUUUAUCUCAUGUAAAUGGAAUCAUGCCAUGUGCACGUCUUUGUGCCCGGCUGCUUUAUCUCAUUUUGUUUUUUUUAAGAUUCAUCAUGUCAGCAGUUCCUUCUUUCUGGUUACUAAGUCAUAUUGCAUUGUGUGGGUGCACUAGUGUAUCCGUUCACCUGCUGAUGGGCUUCUGGACAGUUUGCAGUCCAUUCACCUUGACUAUGUGGAUAAAGACACCCUGACCCUUUAGGGGCUAUGCUUUUGCUCCUCUUGGGUGCAUAUUUAAGAGUAGAAAGCUGGAUUAUAGGAAAAUGUAUAUAUAUAUAUAUAUAUAUGUAUGUAUGUAUAUAUAACAUAUUUUAUUAUAUUUUUGGAGUCUUCCUCUGUUUCCCAGGCUGGAGUGAAGUGGCAAGGUCUCGGCUCACUGCAACCUCCACCUCCCGGGUUCAAGUGAUUCUCCUGCCUUAGCCUCCUGAGUAGCUGGGAUUAUGGGCACCUGCCACCAGCUAAUUUUUGUAUUUUUAGUAGAGACAGGGUUUCACCAUGUUGGCCAGGCUAGUCUCGAACUCCUGACCUCAGAUGAUCUGCCUGCCUCGGCCUCCCAAAGUGUUGGGAUUACAGGCGUUAGCCACUGCACCUGGCUGUAAAUUCUUACAAGAAAAUAGAGGACAGUUUAUAAUAUUGGAAUGGGAAAAGGCUCUCCUAACCAAGAUGGAAUCCAGAAAGAAUAAAGAAAAAGCUAGAUUAUUUGACGAAAUAAUUUUAAAAUUUCUUUUGUAAGAUAUCAUAAAUUUAAAAAAAAAGAUAAGGGCCGGGCGUGGUGGCUCACACCUGUAAUCCCAGCACUUUGGGAGGCCGAGGCGGG